Molecule: ribosomal RNA, 541 nt
Filed under: uncultured bacterium
Lineage: Bacteria
Description: bacterial SSU rRNA
Rfam family: Bacterial small subunit ribosomal RNA
Source: RNAcentral
UCUCCUACGGGAGGCAGCAGUGAGGAAUAUUGCGCAAUGGCCGAAAGGCUGACGCAGCGACGCCGCGUGAAGGAUGAAGUUCGUUAGAAUGUAAACUUCUUUUGUAGGGGAUGAAUGUGCCGGUCUCCGGCAUUGACUGUACCCUGCGAAUAAGGAUCGGCUAACUACGUGCCAGCAGCCGCGGUAAUACGUAGGAUCCGAGCGUUGUCCGGAAUUACUGGGUGUAAAGGGCGUGUAGGUGGGUCUCUAAGUCGGUGGUGAAAUCUUGCAGCUCAACUGUAAAAUUGCCAUCGAUACUGGAGGUCUUGAGUACGGCAGAGGGAAAUGGAAUUCAUGGUGUAGCGGUGAAAUGUGUAGAUAUCAUGAAGAACACCAGUAGCGAAGGCGGUUUCCUGGUCCGUAACUGACACUGAGGCGCGAAAGCGUGGGGAGCAAACAGGAUUAGAUACCCUGGUAGUCCACGCCUUAAACGAUGAAUACUAGGUGCUGGGCCGUAAGGUUCAGUGCCAAAGCUAACGCAUUAAGUAUUCCACCUGGGGAG